This 469-nucleotide ribosomal RNA is filed under the name uncultured bacterium. RNAcentral's name for it is "partial 16S ribosomal RNA". It matches the Rfam family "Bacterial small subunit ribosomal RNA", at positions 28 to 508 of the family's 1533-position model. The record is from RNAcentral.
GACGAACGCUGGCGGCGUGCUUAACACAUGCAAGUCGAACGGAAAGGCCCUGCUUUUGUGGGGUGCUCGAGUGGCGAACGGGUGAGUAACACGUGAGUAACCUGCCCUUGACUUUGGGAUAACUUCAGGAAACUGGGGCUAAUACCGGAUAGGAGCUCCUGCUGCAUGGUGGGGGUUGGAAAGUUUCGGCGGUUGGGGAUGGACUCGCGGCUUAUCAGCUUGUUGGUGGGGUAGUGGCUUACCAAGGCUUUGACGGGUAGCCGGCCUGAGAGGGUGACCGGCCACAUUGGGACCGAGAUACGGCCCAGACUCCUACGGGAGGCAGCAGUGGGGAAUAUUGCACAAUGGGCGGAAGCCUGAUGCAGCAACGCCGCGUGCGGGAUGACGGCCUUCGGGUUGUAAACCGCUUUCGCCUGUGACGAAGCGUGAGUGACGGUAAUGGGUAAAGAAGCACCGGCUAACUACGUGC